Molecule: long non-coding RNA, 752 nt
Filed under: Cricetulus griseus (Chinese hamster)
Lineage: Eukaryota; Metazoa; Chordata; Mammalia; Rodentia; Cricetidae
Description: lncRNA (ENSCGRG00015018993.2)
Source: RNAcentral
AGAAUGUUUAUCCUAACUUUGAAAAGACAAGAAUGAAAAUGAUUAAUUUACUAAUUAACUAAAAAUAAACAAAUUAAGCUGGAGCUAUCUGAGAAGAAGGAACCAGAGUUGAGAAGAUGCCUCCAGAAGUCUGGCCUCAAGGCAAGCCUGUGGAGCACUUUCUUAGUGAGGGGAUGUGUAAGGGCCAGCCCACUAUGGGCAGUGCAACCUCUGAGCAUCUGCUCCUGGAGUGUUUAUGAAAACAGGCUGAACAAGGAAGAAGCCGGUAAGCAGCACUCUUGAAUUACCUGGGCAUCAGCUCCUGCCUCCAGAAUCCUGUUUUGAGUUCAUGCCCUGACUUUCCUGACUGAUGGACUACAAGGUUGGUUAUGCACCUCUUAAAAUGAAGAUACAAGACACAUGUGAUUCUGAACAAUAUAAUUGUCAUCUAGCUACCAAAUAGUUUAAAGGCAGCUUAGUUCUUUUGGUUAAAAUAUGAAUAAUGCAUAAAAGGAGCCUGUAAAGAGAAGUAACUGGAGGGGAGGAAGGAUGCUGCUCAAUGUAUUUUUUGAUGAAAAUGAGGGUUUCUCUGUGGCUUUGGAGGCUGUCCUUGAACUAGCUCUUAUAGACCAGGCUGGUCUCGAACUCACAGAGAUCCACCUGCCUCUGCCUCCCAAGUGCUGGGAUUAAAUGCAUUCGCCACCAAGCCCAGCUUACUUUGUUUUUGUUUUGUUUUUGUUGUUGUUGUUUUUUGUUUUUUUAUGUUAAGUUCU